Molecule: transfer RNA, 71 nt
Filed under: Regulus satrapa (golden-crowned kinglet)
Lineage: Eukaryota; Metazoa; Chordata; Aves; Passeriformes; Regulidae
Description: tRNA-Val
Source: RNAcentral
CAAGACGUAGCUUUAAUUUAAAGCAUUCAGCUUACACCUGAAAGAUACUCACUAACCAUGGGUCGUCUUGA